GCAAAAACAAAGACGAAAUGCCAAGUGAAAGUAAUCAUAAGCCUCUUCCAAACCUUUGGGACCAAGGAUAAGACUUUGUUUAAGGUUGUCUCUUUUGCGGUGUAAACACACGCGAUCGUGUGAACGACUGCAGAUGUUGUGAGAAGGGAUACAAUUGCAAAGACUACCAAGUACCCGAUCUUGAAGCGGAAGAAGGUCACCCAUUCGGAGUUUGAGCUUAACAUGUUGUCGAUUUCAUUAAAGGAUCUUGAGCCCUUUAAAACAUUGAGGAGCAUAAAUUCAUUGUGAAUGAUUGAUGUGAAGAGUGUUUUGGUGAUUUGGAUGUGGGCUAGGUAUAUGAAGGAGAGAGGGAAGAUCAAGAAUAUUGUAAUUUGAGUGAAGAUUUUUCUCCAUGAUGAAAUUAUAGUGC
Molecule: long non-coding RNA, 409 nt
Filed under: Erythranthe guttata (spotted monkey flower)
Lineage: Eukaryota; Viridiplantae; Streptophyta; Magnoliopsida; Lamiales; Phrymaceae
Description: long non-coding RNA (EGUT_LNC003837)
Source: RNAcentral